RNAcentral lists this ribosomal RNA (253 nucleotides) under uncultured bacterium. RNAcentral's name for it is "partial 16S ribosomal RNA". It matches the Rfam family "Bacterial small subunit ribosomal RNA", at positions 524 to 776 of the family's 1533-position model. The record is from RNAcentral.
CACGUAGGGUGCGAGCGUUGUCCGGAAUUAUUGGGCGUAAAGAGCGUGUAGGCGGCCAGAUAAGUCCGCUGUGAAAACUCGAGGCUCAACUUCGAGCUGUCGGUGGAAACUAUUUGGCUAGAGUCCGGAAGAGGAGAGUGGAAUUCCUGGUGUAGCGGUGAAAUGCGCAGAUAUCAGGAAGAACACCCGUGGCGAAGGCGGCUCUCUGGUACGGAACUGACGCUGAGACGCGAAAGCGUGGGGAGCGAACAGG